Long non-coding RNA from Brassica napus (rape), 399 nucleotides. RefSeq lists it as uncharacterized. The record is from RefSeq and is a predicted model, not a curated record. NCBI's taxonomy places the organism in Eukaryota, Viridiplantae, Streptophyta, Magnoliopsida, Brassicales, Brassicaceae. The transcript is spliced from 3 exons.
GAAAUGAGAUGUUUUCAAAUUCCAGCAUGCUCUUGUAUCUCCAGUGUCCAGCCAGUGCUGUCAACCCCGGUUCAUCGUUGUCAUUUCUGGAGAAGUUCUGCCAAGAUAUUUCAGCUCAGGAUGGGUAUUUGCUCAGUUUCAUGAACCAGAAGUCGCCCAGUUCUUUGCAACAUUUGGCGCUAACCUCACAAUUGCAUGGAUGGAAGACAAUAGGAGCUCGGUAAAGCUUCCAUGAAGCGGAGAGAGCUUGAAUGGUCUGAAGUAAAAAGCAGUCUUGCUCAGUAAUUAACGGCUUCACAGAUCCCAUGUUCUUUGGAUGUGAGUGACAAUGGACGAUUGGAGAAAAAGACAAGCAUCUGGGCGGAGCAGCGAGGGCAAUUAGCGUCACCUCUGCUGUAC